This 72-nucleotide transfer RNA is filed under the name Trypanosoma brucei. Lineage: Eukaryota; Euglenozoa; Kinetoplastea; Trypanosomatida; Trypanosomatidae. The record is from RNAcentral.
GCGCGGUUAGUCUAGUGGAAAGUCACUCGCACUCAAUUAGCGGGAGCCCCGGGUUCGAUCCCGGACUGCGCG